UUUGUUUCAAAUAUUCAUACAGCUGCGGAAUACGGGAAAAUCAUGUAAAUUGCCGGUCGCACCCAAGAUCCAAAGGAGCUAGAAAAAAAAACAAACAAAAUUAAAAUGCAUUACAAGCAAUUUGUGAGCCGUGAAAUCUAGAGGGUUGUGGCUGCUACGGAAAUAUUAAAUGUUCCGGCAAUUAAGCUUCCGACGAAUUUUACACUUUUGUGCACAAAAACAAUGUGGGAAAAAACAGGACAGCAUUUCAUUGUUUGCAUAUUUAAUAAAGCUAAUCAAAAACACGUCGCGCCCUCGCUGGAUUCGAAAAAAAAGCGAAACCCCGAUCCCUAGCCUUUAGCCCGCCCGAUUUGUCAGAUUUUAGGGAGGCGCUGCAGUGACAGCAUCCUUCACAUAAUUUAUUGGCCAGCACUCAAGGACACACAAAGUUGGGAAAGACGGGCAAAAAAAAAGCAAACAAACAAACGGAUAUCGAACAAAACUGUGAAAAACCCAGCGGGAAACCACCGACGGCAGCCAAACUAAUUUGUUGUCAUUUUUAUGCGACAAAAACGAAAACAAUAAAACAGUAAAAACAAAUUGUUAGAAAGAGAUGCGGCGAGAGGGAGUGAGCGAAAACGCGAAGGACCACGAUUCUUGCAGCUGCCGUAAAACUAAUGAAUUAUUGAUUGAAUUCAUAUUUAUUGUAGAACUUAGAACUAUUUUUUUGCCAAAAAAAAGGGAACAAAUCAGAACUUUUUCGUUUACGAUUUUAU
Drosophila elegans is the source of this 755-nucleotide long non-coding RNA. RefSeq lists it as uncharacterized. NCBI's taxonomy places the organism in Eukaryota, Metazoa, Arthropoda, Insecta, Diptera, Drosophilidae. The transcript has 3 exons. The record is from RefSeq and is a predicted model, not a curated record.